AUGGCUUCCAUGGGGUUUAGCUACGCACAGGUACACGUGAAGCAAGAGAGACUGAGGAGGAGGAUCAGCGAGGAGGCUUCGACAGCGACGAUGACAGGUAAGUCGAUGACCGGAGAAGAUGGGAAGGAGAAUUUUAUUGGUGAAGAGGAGAAGAAGGCAGCUUCCAACACAUGGACCGCCGGCGCCGGGAGGGUGCAUCCAUGUGCAUCUUCAACGGCGGCUGCGGCGCCAAAGGGUGGCCACCGGUGA
Molecule: ribosomal RNA, 249 nt
Filed under: Triticum aestivum (bread wheat)
Lineage: Eukaryota; Viridiplantae; Streptophyta; Magnoliopsida; Poales; Poaceae
Description: partial small subunit ribosomal RNA
Source: RNAcentral